CACUAAGGGGAAUACUGAGCACAAAUACUGGGCACUUUGUGGGAAAAAACCUUUGAGCUGAGGGGAAGGAACUCAGCUGUCACUAACACCUCUGUCAAGCUUCACUCCCAGACAGUCUCGGGCAGCAGCUCUCUGAACAUCAAGGACCUCAAACUCUCUCACAAACAGCCACAGGUGAGCGUGGAGCCCACCCACAAGGUCAGUCCGGGAAAGGGACAGACCCACCCUGGGGAACUGUUGAGCCACUCUGCCUCUCCUCUCACAGAAGGCUGAGGAGAGUGGAAAACAUCGCUCAACGUAAUGUUGUUUUCAAUUUGGCCUUGUGCUGAGAAAAAGAAAGAUCUACAUUGACUCCAGAAAAAUAUACAGCAAUCAGAACAAUAAAAGAAAAUAAAUUUAACAGGAUAUAUUGCUUACAGAUAACAUCCUGCCAUCUUUGUAAAAAUCCCUUAGCCUAUAAAGGCCUUUAGACUUCCAGUCUUGCCAUGGAAAUAUUCUGUAUUUAUUAAAAAAUUGUGGAUGAAAGAACGAAGUCAUCAAUGAAGAGACCCAUGAGGAAAUUGAUUUUACUCUGCAAGACCAACAUCAAUAUAAGGCUUCUGUGAAGAGACUGUCCUGUAUUUGAGCUAUGGUUGUGUAUAAAAUAAAGAACUUAGAGUGUACCCUUUAAAAAGUCUGUUUUCCAUUGAUGUCCAUCUCUUUUCCUCGUCUUCUCUCAAAAAAGAAAUCAAGUGGUAUAAUCGAUUAGCUUCAUAAUAAGAACAGAUAUGAGGUAUCUCCCAGUCCCCCCCCCCCAUCCCGUUUGCCUGUAACAAUACUGUUGUCUGA
Molecule: long non-coding RNA, 828 nt
Organism: Rhineura floridana
Lineage: Eukaryota; Metazoa; Chordata; Lepidosauria; Squamata; Rhineuridae
Exons: 3
Source: RefSeq, a predicted model, not a curated record